Pelodiscus sinensis (Chinese soft-shelled turtle) is the source of this 2820-nucleotide non-coding RNA. Lineage: Eukaryota; Metazoa; Chordata; Testudines; Trionychidae. The record is from RefSeq and is a predicted model, not a curated record.
GGAUGUCCCCGCGGGUGCUCCACUAUGGGUACUAUGGGUGACUGCGUAGCAGCAGUCGCCAAAAACGGAAGGAGGGCACAGAGACCCUAUUUAUCCGCCGUGGAGAGCACCGCAGUCGCCACUGCCCCAUCUGAGUGAGAGAGAGAGAUAGAAUAAUGCUUAGCGAAGGUCCCAUGAGAGGACCAAGUCGCCGUUCUGCAAAUGUCCUUCAGAGAUACGCCUCUGUGGAACGCUGUAGAUGUGGCCAUGGCUCUAGUGGAAUGAGUGUGUGGUUGGGACAGAAGGGGUAACCCUCUCGUUGCGUAUGAUUGCACUAUGCAUGCAGUCACGAGAUUGGAAAUUCUUUGGGAAGAUAGACGUUGACCCUUAGACUUGUGUGCCAGGGAGAUGAAUAAAUGGUCUGUAAGCCUCAACGAUUUAGUGCGAUCUAUGUAGAAUGCUAAGGCCCUGCGGAUGUCCAAGGAAUGUAGGGCCGCGUCUCGUGGCGAGGCAUGGAGCUUCGGGAAAAAAGUUGGCAAGAUGACUGGUUUAUUAAUGUGGAAAAUUGGAGACAAUCUUGGGUAGGAACCUCGGGUGUAAUCUCAAGACUACUCCAUCGCUACGGAAGAUCGUAUAUGGUGGGAUGGCCAUCAUAGCGGAAAGCUCGCUAACCCUGCGUGCAGAGGUUAUUGCGAGCAGGAAAACCGUUUUCAGAGUAAGGAAUUGUAAGGAUACGGUUGCCAAAGGCUCGAACGGUGGCCUCAUUAGGGCGUCGAGUACCACGUCCAGGCUCCACACAGGAGGGACUGGGUUGCGUGGUGGGUCCAUGUUGGUAAGGCCCUUGAGAAAUCUUUUAGUCAUAGGAUGGGCGAAGAUAGAAACGCCAUCUAUAGGUGGUGUGAAUGCUGAUAUUGCUGCGAGGUGCACCCUGAUGGAGGCUAACGCAAGACCCUUGUUUUUUAGGUGCAGUGCAUAGUCCAGUACGGAGGAAAUGGACGGACGUGUCGGAUCGUGGUGAUUCGAGCUACACCAGGAGGAGUAUCUGCGCCACUUGUGAAGGUGAAUGGAGCUAUAAGGAGAAGCUGACAGGAGAACAGCUGAGAGGCGGGAGACCAGGCACAUUUUGCGGCAGACAGACUCCAUCAACUAAGGGAAAAAACCUGGGAGGACAAGGAAGGAUCUGGUCAAGGAUGUGCUGCAGCAUUCAAGGCUUCAAACACAGAAAAGGGAGCAAAGAAGAGCUAGGGAGAUGCAAGUCAGAAUAGAAGUCACUGAGUGCAUUUAGAAGACUAAAAUGAGAUGAUGAAGUGUCUUAUCAAAUGCAGAGUAAACAGAACCAAAGGCCUCCCAGUCUGCACAUGCCAAACUUUUUUCACAGCAGCUGUCCCUCUACGCCCAUACAUUCGCCUCCGUGGCCACACAUAAAAUUCUUUAUCCAGCAAGCAACCCUCCCUCUAAGCUCACACUCAUUUUCACAAUCAAGUAUUUUUCCCCGGCACACUCCACUCCCCAUCAAAGCAGCUGUGACUUUGACAGCUAGACAUCAUUCUGAGACUUUCCAAAAACUGUUUUGCCAUCCUUUACUACUGAGCAUCCUGAUUGAAAGACAUCAAUAAAGACAGAUGUGAUACAUGUUUCCAUGAGUUUAUUUUGUGUGACACAAACCACACCAAUCGCUCUAGCCCCUGGAAACCUGUAAUAUCCCUUGGUUUCAUGGGAAUACCUUGCUCAGGAUGAGCAGUGGGAUGAGGCAGAGAAGGAAUCCCAGCACACAGAAAUGUCAGUGCCCAUCAGUGUCAAAGUGGUUCCUCAGAUCCUCCCUGAUAUUCAUGGCCACCCUAUCGUCCCUCUGAUAGCACGAGUGUCUGGCUGUUCAAACUGUGUAUCCAGACACUAUGUUCCAUUGUUCCACCCACAGGCAAAUGCUUUACCAUUUACUCUUCACAUAAAUUAUGUAAGCAACAGCAUGCUCCACCACCUUGGGCCGUGGUGUCCAAAAUGCUAGCUGCUAGCCACAUGCGUUUAUUUGGCCAGUUGAGUGUUGCAAGUUGUCUUAAACACUACAGUGGCUACUGCUUCAGAACAGGUUAGACAACACCGACUUUGUGGAUAUGAUCCUCCAAAAGUUCCAGUCUAGGGAUGAAAGUGAUGAGUCAACUAUCUGAUAAGCAUUAGCGGGGCAGGGGAGGUAGCGGCACAGCAGGAAACAGCACAAGUGGGGACUGAAACAGUCUCCGCUCGCGCUCUGUCUGCUGCAAUUCUGCUUUUGAAAUGUACAAGAGUCCCAGCCCGGCUCUUGUACAUUUCAAAAGCAGAAGCCCCACAGGGAGUGCUGGGGCUGGCCUCAAGCUACCUGCAGGGCUUCCUUUUGAAAUGUACAAGAGCCCUAAUGGGGGAUCCCUAAUGGAGGAAUGCCUACUGGCCGCAAGCUCCCUGCGUGGCUUCCACUUUUGAAUUGUAGCAAGAGCGCAGAAGUACCCUUAUAGACUAAUCAAAUAGUCAAUGGAAAUCCUAUCAACGAUUCGAUUAGUUAAUCUAAACUGAACUUUAGCAAGAACUGUAGCAAAAGCCUGGAGGCACCCUUAUAGACUAACUGAAUAGUUGAUGGAAAGUCCAUCGACUAUUCAAUUAGUUAAUUAAUCUAAAUUUAACAUCCCUAGAUCAGCCUGCCACAGAGACAUCUCCAAUGCCCUUUCAAUCUGUCAAAGGCACAUUCAACAACCAUGCGGCAUUGGCUUAGCCUGUUGUUGGACAGCAGUAAGGAGUAGUACAAGUGCCCCAUGAAAAGCACCUCAUUGCAGGAGGAAUACCAGCUAAUUUGAGUUAGCGCUUUAAAUCGGA